GCCUUCUGUUCAUAGGAAGAACGGCAUCUGAAACUGCAGAUCUUGGGUGUAGGAGGGGAGAGUGGAACUUCUGGUGGAGCGGUGAAAUGCGUAGAUAUCAGAAGGAACGUCGGCGGCGAAAGCGACUCUCUGGCCUAUUACUGACACUGAGUGUGCGAAAGUUAGGGGAGCAAACGGGAUUAGAUACCCCGGUAGUCCUAACUGUAAACGAU
Molecule: ribosomal RNA, 212 nt
Filed under: uncultured Planctomycetota bacterium
Lineage: Bacteria; Pseudomonadati; Planctomycetota
Description: uncultured planctomycete partial 16S ribosomal RNA
Rfam family: Bacterial small subunit ribosomal RNA
Source: RNAcentral